RNAcentral lists this ribosomal RNA (1323 nucleotides) under metagenome. RNAcentral's name for it is "bacterial LSU rRNA". It matches the Rfam family "Bacterial large subunit ribosomal RNA", at positions 1579 to 2925 of the family's 2925-position model. The record is from RNAcentral.
AAAAGUAGUGAAGCGUGUGAGCCAUGUGCCGAGAAAAGCUGCUAUUGUGUAAUGCGUGCCCGUACCGUAAACCGACACAGGUGGAUGAGGAGAGAAUCCUAAGGCCGGCGGAAGAAGCAUUGUUAAGGAAUUCGGCAAAAUGACCCCGUAACUUCGGGAGAAGGGGUGCCUGCGAGAGCAGGCCGCAGAGAAUAGGCUCAAGCAACUGUUUAGCAAAAACACAGGUCUAUGCGAAACCGAAAGGUGAAGUAUAUGGGCUGACGCCUGCCCGGUGCUGGAAGGUUAAGAGGAGAGGUUAGCGUAAGCGAAGCUUUGAAUUUAAGCCCCAGUAAACGGCGGCCGUAACUAUAACGGUCCUAAGGUAGCGAAAUUCCUUGUCGGGUAAGUUCCGACCCGCACGAAAGGCGUAAUGAUUUGAGCACUGUCUCGACAAUGCAUCCGGUGAAAUUGAAGUACCAGUGAAGAUGCUGGUUACCCGCGCCAGGACGGAAAGACCCCAUGGAGCUUUACUCCAGUUUGAUACUGGGAUUCGGUACUGCAUGUACAGGAUAGGUGGGAGACGAAGAAGGAUGGACGCCAGUCUGUCCGGAGUCGCUGUUGGGAUACCACCCCUGUAGUACUGGGUUUCUAACCAGUUGCCAUGAACUGGCAAUGGGACAACGUCAGGCGGGGAGUUUGACUGGGGCGGUCGCCUCCGAAAAGGUAUCGGAGGCGCUCAAAGGUUCCCUCAGAAUGGUUGGAAACCAUUUGAAGAGUGCAAAGGCAGAAGGGAGCUUGACUGCGACACCGACGGGUGGAGCAGGUACGAAAGUAGGACUUAGUGAUCCGGUGGUAUAAAGUGGGAUUGCCAUCGCUCAACGGAUAAAAGCUACCCUGGGAUAACAGGCUUAUCACUCCCAAGAGUUCACAUCGACGGAGUGGUUUGGCACCUCGAUGUCGGCUCAUCGCAUCCUGGGGCUGUAGCAGGUCCCAAGGGUUGGGCUGUUCGCCCAUUAAAGCGGUACGCGAGCUGGGUUCAGAACGUCGUGAGACAGUUCGGUCCCUAUCCGGCGCGGGCGGAGGAUAUUUGAGAGGAGCUGUCCUUAGUACGAGAGGACCGGGAUGGACGGACCACUGGUGUAUCUGUUGUCGACCAACGGCAUGGCAGAGUAGCCAAGUCUGGAAGGGAUAAACGCUGAAGGCAUCUAAGCGUGAAGCCCCCCUCAAGAUGAGAUAUCCCUCCUUCGGGAGUAAGACCCCUUGAAGACUACAAGGUAGAUAGGGCAGAGGUGGAAGCAUGGCAACAUGUGGAGCUGACUGUUACUAAUAGGUCGAGGGCUUAAU